This 307-nucleotide long non-coding RNA is filed under the name Gossypium raimondii (Peruvian cotton). RNAcentral describes it as "long non-coding RNA (GRAI_LNC005831)". Lineage: Eukaryota; Viridiplantae; Streptophyta; Magnoliopsida; Malvales; Malvaceae. The record is from RNAcentral.
UCCCCAAAAUCGAGUCCAUCACAAAUUGGUUCAGGCGAGCCAGGAUCAGUUUGAUCCACUUGAACGAAAUUAGAUGAUGGUACAAUAUUCGGCCCAGCAUUAAGGUGAACAUUUUUAACAUUGGACCCACGUGAUGGAUGUUGAAUAUGCGACCCAUGUGAUUGAUGUUGAAUAUGCGGCCCAUGUGAUACACAAUGUCCAUUUGCAUCAUUAAACCCAUGUGACGUGUUACCAUUAUAGCCUUGCCCAUCAUCAAGAUCAAAUUUGCACACAUUAGACUUGUAAGCAUCUGAACAAAUUCGGCCAG